GCAGAGCCCACUUUUGACUACCUUUUUCGGUGUCUCCAAGUUUAAAUGAUUCAGAUUUUGAAAACCUACCAUCUGUUAACAAAUAAUGUUCUCACCAUGAAGGCAGUGAUUAUGUUUGUUGCAAUUUCACAAGACAAGAAACCAAGAAAAAUAUAAGAAUAGAAAUCAGAGAAGAGCAAAUUCUAAAGGAAAGACUCUAUAUGAAAUGAAAAAGCAUGAACAAACCAUCUUUGCUGCCAGGGGAUUAAGGGUAAAAGAAUGUGAAGCAAAACUAUGGUUAGUUGAAGUUGUAAGAGUGAAGAAGAGAGGGAGAAUGUUACAAAGAAGAUGUGAUUAUGAUGGAUGGUGCUUCAAAGCAAUUAUAAAGUUUCCAUCAGCUGUAUUUACAUGGCCAAUUAUAUGAAUCUUGUCAACCUUCUGGCCUGCUACAUUGUUGCUGAAAAAAUCUGGCUUCAUCUGAAAGUGUCCCCAUUAGAAGCACAAGAGAGCAGCAGGCCAAAGAACACAUUCUCCCUUUAAAUAUGGGGUGCUGGAACAGACAUUAAUUUAUUAAACCAAGAUUGAA
Mustela lutreola (European mink) is the source of this 565-nucleotide long non-coding RNA. RefSeq lists it as uncharacterized. The record is from RefSeq and is a predicted model, not a curated record. The transcript has 3 exons. NCBI's taxonomy places the organism in Eukaryota, Metazoa, Chordata, Mammalia, Carnivora, Mustelidae.